This 253-nucleotide ribosomal RNA is filed under the name uncultured bacterium. RNAcentral describes it as "partial 16S ribosomal RNA". It matches the Rfam family "Bacterial small subunit ribosomal RNA", at positions 524 to 776 of the family's 1533-position model. The record is from RNAcentral.
UACGGAGGGGGCUAGCGUUGUUCGGAAUUACUGGGCGUAAAGGGCGCGUAGGCGGCCUUCUAAGUCGGACGUGAAAUCCCUCAGCUUAACCGAGGAACUGCGUCCGAUACUGAAAGGCUUGAAUCCGGGAGAGGGAUGUGGAAUUCCAGGUGUAGCGGUGAAAUGCGUAGAUAUCUGGAGGAACACCGGUGGCGAAGGCGGCGUUCUGGACUGCAACUGACACUGAGGAACGAAAGCCAGGGUAGCAAACGGG